Non-coding RNA from Delphinapterus leucas (beluga whale), 14072 nucleotides. NCBI's taxonomy places the organism in Eukaryota, Metazoa, Chordata, Mammalia, Artiodactyla, Monodontidae. The record is from RefSeq and is a predicted model, not a curated record.
UGUGGGAUCUUCCCGGACCAGGGCUCGAACCCGUGUUCCCUGCAUUGGCAGGCGGAUGCUUAACCACUGUGCCACCAGGGAAAUCCCUCUAUGUGGUUCUUAACUGAUGCUGCCCACCCGGCUGAGGAGCAGCCCUCCUAUUCACAAUUGACCAAUAAGUCUCUUGCAGGAUUUUAAUUCUUUCCUGGUGACUGAAGACAGAAGACAUAAAACCUGGAAAACACCUAGAGGAUAAAAAUGACAUGCAGGGAGAAGUAGCAGAGAAAACUCUGCUGUUUGCAUUCCUGGAUCCAGUAGUAAAGAGUCCUGUAUUUCUGAAGCUUUUGUAGUCAAACCUUCCGUGAGUGCUUCCAAGAGGCUAUGACUUUGCAUCAAAUCAACUUGAGCUGGGCUUCUAUCACUUCUAAUCUAACAGUGCAAAUUAACAAGGAGAAACUGAGACUCAAGAGUAUUCAAGUCACUCAUUCAAGGUCACAGCAGGUGAGAGAGCAAGGCGGAGUCAAGUUCAGCUGUGUCAGGCCUAUGUCCUUUUCACCAUGCAGAAGGGCUUCCCAGCAGAGCUAACCCAGGUGAAGUUUCUAGAGUUAGAAGAAAAAAAAGUCGACAUUAAUUAAGAUGUUUGGAGAUACAAAAGAAAGCAUAUUUAUAUAAUAAAGCCUGUUAAGCUGAGCUUGUUGGGACCAGUCCAGAUGCUAAGUAACACAGGUCAAGGUCAGAGCAAAAAGUGCAGGAAAAAAAGAGAUUUACAAGACAAGCACAGUGAGAGGAAGCACUCCUCACUUUGAUGUGAGGUCCAGGAAGAAGCCUCUCGUUUCCUUGCCAUUUUUGUCUCCCAGUUUAAUAAAACAUUGCUGUAAUUUUUUUUAUAUUUGGGAACUUUUCUUUCUGUUUAUCAAAGUGAUACAUGUUCAUCAUAGAAACUUGGGAAAGUAUAAAGAGGUAGGGGAAAAUCACCAGUAAUCCCACCUUAAGGGAACUGUUAAACUUUUGAAAUAUUUUCUUUGAGAUAUUGCUAUGUAUUUUUACACAGUACAACUUUAUAUACUGGCCUUUUUCUCCCCCUUGUUAAUGGUAGAGCAUACGCAUUUUUCCAGGACAGUACUGUUUGCUGAAAGAAAUUGUGGGCACUAAGGCAUUAAUAGGAUAUUUUAGAGGCUUCCUCUAGAAGCACCUAGAAGAGUGUCUAGUUCCUAGAAGCAUGGUAUUAGGUGGACAAUACCUAAAAGAAGCAGACAUACCCUGAGAUAAGGGUAAGGGCCCUUAGGUCUUCGGUGAUAGGGAGCCAGCCAGGGUGUGUGUGUGGGGGGGGUGGUGGUGCAUGGAGGUGGGAAUGGGGAAGUACCAUCAGGAAGAGGUGGCCGAUAGGGGGUGCAUUCUAGAAUGUGGCCACUAAGGGGGUGCAUUCUUAAACCAGCUCCACAGUGAGCCACUGAAGCUCAAUCCUGGAGAAGCUUUGAGAAAUGGUAUAGAACACCUCACACUUCAGAAUUAUCCCAGUCAAGCUCCCAGGAGGGAGGGGAAAUAUUCAUAGCCCUGAAAAACCUCCCUCAACAACAUGCCUAGAAAUGCUUAAAAAAUAAAUAGUACACAUUUAAAUGCUUUGGUUAUUAUAGGAAAAUAAGGAAAUGCCCAGGCUGUAAAGAACAGAACACUCAAGUGGCGUAACCAAGAUAGAAAUUUAUUUUUCUUACGUGUAAAAGAAGUCCUAGACCAGAGGUGAGCUGCCAGAGCUGAGAUGGGUUCCCUUGUCAUCAAGAGUCCAGGCUUCUCAGUGCUGCCUUCUAAUGGGUGAUCAGUCCACUUGGUAAAGGCACUUGAGGAAGAAUCAUCCAAGUAGGUAAGCAGAACCUUCCCUCAAUGGUACCGGAAAUCUGUGUCAAUAUAUACCCAGGGCUAAGACAGCUGUGUUCAACCAAAAGAUCUUCGUGUUAAGAAGUACACAUGUUAAUGGGCGGAGGACACUGUCCUGUCAGGCGGGUCUGGAGCUGAGAAUCAUUGCAUUGAGCACAGGGUCACUGAGAAGGCGGGACAAACGUCCUCAGGAAGAGGGCAAAGAGGCCUUUUCUAAGUCAGGUGAUGAGACCAAAGGAAUGGGAGGCAGUUACCUGGAGAAAGUCCAUCUUACUACUAUUCUCUGUGCUUGUCAAACGCUGGAUUUGGAGGUCAAUUGGUAACAGCAACACUCAUGAAAAAGUGGCUGAGGGUUUGGACAGUGCGGCGGGGCAGUCAUUGGUAUUUCUGCAGGAUCAAACGGGGUAGGAUGGGGUAGGAUUGGGGAGGAAAAGUGGGUAGGGGUAGGCUGCCUGCUUUCCCCAGUGAUUAGACCUGCCAAAGUAAAUAAAAUUGAGUACUUGGCCAAUAAACGCUCCCUAACAACUAUUGCUUAUCUUUGAGAAGUAAAAGAAAGUAUUUGAUCUCUUGGAAUUUGAUCCCCACGUAAAUAUCCGCUAUAGUCACAAGAGCUGGGGGCUGGGGACAGAGGAGAAGACGCCUUUGCUGCCUGAGGAAGGCUCCGCGCAGCCUCUGUUGAGCGUGGCGUGUGUUAGGUGUGUGUUAAGCGAAAACACCGCUACAUAUUCUUGUUGCUUAACUGGAUACAACUCUGCUUGGAAGUUAAGGUUGACUUGUGUCCUUUGGCUCUUUUCUUACUUUCUGAUUCACUUCUUCAAAUUGCUGUCUAACAUCUCCUUCAGUCUGCUGUCAGCUUGUCUCUUCAUUUACAGGGAAAAUGGAGGCCAUCAGAUGUGAACUGUCAAAUCAUUUCCUGUCUUGGAGGAAAAAAAUGACCCCUCACCCUUCCAAGGUUAGACACCCACUCCGCAACUGCAGGGGAUUUUGUGGGAUUGUCUCUCUCUGUCUCUGUCUCUCCUACCUCCUCCCUCCCGUCUUCUCCAACCUCUCCUCUCCAUCUGUCGUGAUUCAGCCACAAGUUCAAGCCUUACCAGCCCAUAAGAAACACUUCCCUUGAGUUCACCUUUCUGCUCAAAAAACUGUCUAGUCUCUUGUCUUCCCAGACCCUUAGGGAAUGUUCUUUGAAGAGUAGUCUGUGAACAAUACUGGCGUGCAUGCUCCAUGAGCCCAGGAGUCUGUGUUUUGUUUACUGCCCUACCCUUGAGGCCUGGACAGUGCCUGAUACGUAAUAGGUGCUUGAUAAGUAUUUGUGGAGUAAAUGAACAAAUGCCUUCACUUUCCAUUCAUUUUCCCUGCUAUCCUCACCACUCCAUUGAAAACACUCAUAAUAACGUCAUGGGUCCCAUCCCAAUUACCAGAUCCAGUGGCCUCUUUUCAGUCCUUGUUCUAGUUGAUCCUCCUGUAGAAUUUGGGAUGGUUGAGCCCUUGAUGCUUGAAACCCAAGCUUUCUCUUCUGGUGCUAUUUUUCUGUCUCAGAGUGGGGUUUUUUUUCCCCAUUUUCUUCAUAGUCUCCACUUUCUGUUCUUUUCUUUUUUUUUCUUUAAGGAGGAAUGCUUGGCACUCUUCCAUCCAUGCCAGAGAUAUCUGGUGGUGAUCAACAGCGGCAAUGAUGUAUAAAUCUACAUAUCUUUACGAUUCUAGAUCCUGCUUCCUCUCUGACAUCCAGAAUGAUGUAACUCUGGGUGUCUUCACUUGGAUGUCCUUGUGAAGGUCAUCCACUUGGAGGUUCUUCAAACUUAAUGUAUUUGAAAUUGAACUCCCCCUCUACCUUCCCAAACCUCUUCUUUUUCUCAUGUAUUUCCUGAUUCAAUGUUUUCACCACCUCCCCAGCCUCCCAGGCUAGACACUGUAGGGUCAUCACUGGUGUGUCCCUUUCAGUUGGUCACUAAACCAUGUAGAUCCAGAAACAUCUCUCAGCCCCAGCACCCUCUCUUCAUCCCUACCACCUUAGUGCCAGCCCUCAUCCGCUCUCCCCGAGAUGAGGUCCAUCUGGUCUCCCUGUCUCCCUCAUUUUUACUACCUUCCCCUUCGACCACAAUAAUGUGAAUAAAGCACAAGUCUUAGCAUGUCUCUUCCCUACUGGAAACACCUUCAGUACCUCGCUAUUACUUGUUCAACAGGUUUCAGUUCCAUGGAUACCUUUCCAACCUAUUAACAAUUUGCUAACAUCGCCUGGUGCAGCUCGGCCAGUCUCCCCCUACCCCCCAACCCUGCCAGGGUCUCUGAUGUCUUUGUUUCCUGGGCUAUGCUUGCUGCUUAGAAUGUCCUCUCACCUCUUCUUGACUUUGCAAAGUGCUACCCAGGCUUGAAGACCCAAUGUUGUAGGCCCAAUGCUUUUCAUUUCGGUGAACUUUCCCCUCCCCCUCCACAUGAUUUCUUUCUCCUUGGCACUCCUGAAAAAAGAAUCCAUUCUGCUGUAGUUGAAUGUUUGUUUCCUAAUAAACCUCUUUUAUCAAGUUCAUAUUAGACAAAUAAUAAUUUCAGUGGGGAAAAGGGCAUAAGACCCACAAUAAUUUAUCUGUUCUCUUAUAGGAAACUUAAUAAUCAGAGCAGUCACAGAUCCAAGCGAUGAAGAAAACGAAAUACAAUAGCUGAUGAUUAUUGAGUAGUUAUGACCUGACUGGCCCUGUUCAAGACCCAAUUAGCAAAGCUCAGAUAUGAAUUCCCGAGUUAUGAAGUCUCUUCAGAGUACAAAGAAGAUGGCUGAAAGCUGCUCAUUUGUUUAUUCAAUAAGCACUUCCUGAGGGUUUAUGUGCCAGGUAAUUGUGCUAAGCAUGGGGAUACAUAUGAGUGAGAGAGCCCUGCACUUCUAGAAUUCUGUGCCAUGUUCGUACUCUACUCUAACAGGCAGGCACAGAGGCCAAAAUAACCUCUGAAUCUUCAAAAAGGGCCUGAGACUUGAGAAGGUACUAUAGCCUUGCUUCAGUGUUGGUUUCUGGAAGUUUCCAUUAGGUCUGAAACUGAAAAUGUUUCUUCACUAUAUUACUCCAAUAACUUAUAAUAAGACAUACUAGGCCUUUCCUCUUCAGACUAAGACUUGAUCUGUGUAUAUUGGCUAUCAGAAUUCUGCUACCUUGUGCAUUUUCAAUUUAGAUUCACUGAAGUGAAAAUAGAAAAAGAAAAAAUUAUGAAGUAUAAUAAAAACCAAAUUAAUAUCCCUACAGACUACACUUCCCCCUCAAUUUUUUUGGACAGUUGAUAGAAAUGUAGAUUGUGAGCAUUUAACACCAUUAAAAAGAGGAAAAUGAAUGAAGUUGGGUAAACCAUGUACAUGAUUGCAAUAAUUUUUUUUUCCUCCCUAGAUCACUUAUUUAUAUUACCCACUAUUAUUUUCAGCUUAUUUAAUCCUUCACAGCUCCCACUUCAUAAAGAAAUACAGAUCAACUGUACUUAUAAUCAAGUGCCCUCAGACCUGAGGUAAUCUGAAGUCAGUGGAAGUUGGCUUGAAAAUCUGAAAAGUUGCUUCCCUGGAGCCAGUGCCCAGGUAUGUCCAUUCAGUCGCUCAUUCAAUUACAACAAACCUAAACAUAGUCUGCUUCGGACUGUGUAGUUCAGUUUUAACCUGUCCCUGCUGGAAGGAAAGUGAACAGAAAAUUGUGCCUGAGCUAAAAACUGUGACUGAUGAUUUCAAUAGUUUCUUGCUUUUUUUUUUUUUUUAAAGAAUUGAAUGCUUUGCACUGACUCUUCAUUCAGUACAGACAACUACGUUUUUCAGUUGCUUGGGAUUUAGUCAUUUUAGAAAUAAGGUGAUUUAUUUUCUGCCCCCAAGAAUUUCAUCAGUGUUCUCUGUUGUUUUUAUAACAAACUCUAGAGAUUUGUCAGUCCUUGUUGGCAGGAUGAAACUUGGCUGUUGGUGGCAACAAUGAAAUUUCCUGGCACAGACACAAGGGAAGCAGAAGAGGCAACAACACCACUAGAGCCAAGAAGUUAACGUCAUUUGGAAAAAACAUGCUUUGUUACAUCACUUAGAGUAAUAGUUAAUAUAAACAUACUAUUAUGUUUAUAAUCAAAUUUGUCAAGGUUGAUUAUUGAUCUAAAACAUGUAAUUCUGAUGAUAAAUGUUCAAAUUAAUCUAAAAAAAUCUAUUUCUAUAUGAUGGAUACCCACAAACAAGGUAUACAUAAUGUAUUGGUUUUGGACAUAUUUUCCCACAUGAUAUAUAUGUAUUGUUUACAUGUUAAAAAUAUCAAGGAGAUUAAAAGGACAUCAGGGAGAUUGCUAAGAUCUGCUGCAUGAGUUAGACAAGUAGCAGCUUAUGCACAGCUUCCCCUAUGUUAGCUCUAAUUCCAUCCCUUGGCUCUUCAGGAGUACUGCUUUGCCUUGCUUUGGAAUGGUUAGACAGAUGAAAGGAGGAUAGUAUUUGCAAUCAGACGACCUUGCUUCCAGGCCUGGUUCCACCAUAAACUAGCUGUGUGACCUUAGAUAAGUAGGUUACUUUUCUGAGCUUGUCUCCUCAUCUGUAAAACAGAUGGCCAGGAGUCAUGCGUGAAAACCCAUAGCAAAUGUCAUACUUAAUGGUAAAAUACUGAAAGCUCUUCCUCUAAGAUCAGGAAUAAGACAGGAUGCCCACUUUUAUCACUUCUAUUCAACAUAGUACUGGCAGUUCUAGCCAGAGCAAUUUGCAAGAAAAAGAAAUAAAGGCAUCCAAAUUGGAAAGGAAGAGGUAAAAUUAUCUCUGUCCAUAAAUAAUAUGAUCUUGUAUGUAGAAAACCCUGAACUGCUAGAGCUAAUAAUUCAGCAAAAGUAGCAGGAUAAAAAGUCAAACACAAAAAUCAGUUGCAUUUCUAUAUUCUAAAAAUGAACAAUCUGAAAAGAAAAUUAUGAAAACAACUCCAUUUACAACAGCAUCAGAAAGAAUACAAUACUUAGGAAUUAACCAAGAAGAUGAGCUACUUGUACAGUGAAUAAAUCACUGCUGAAAGAAAUUAAAGAAGACACAAUAAAUGGAAACACAUCCCAGGUUCAUGGUCUGUUAAGGUGUCAAGACUACCCAAAGCAAUGUAUAGAUUCAGUGCAAUCCCUAUCAAAAUUCCAAAGGCAAUUUUUGCAGCAACAGGAAAAACCAUCCUAAAAUUCAAGUGGAAUCUCAAGGGAGCCCAAAUAGCCAAAACAAUCUGGGAAAAAGAAGAAAAAAACCUGAGAACUCAUGCUUCCAGAUUUCAAAGUUUUCUACAAAGCUACAGUAAUCAAAAAGUGUGGUAACUGGUAUAAAGACAGACAUAUAGACCAAUGGAAUAGAAUAGAGAGCCCAUAAAUAAACCCUGGAAUAUAUGGUCAAAUGAUUUUUGACAAGAGUGUUAAGCCAUUCAAUGGCAAAAGGAUAGUUUUUUCAACAAAUGAUGCUGGAAUCCACAUGCAAAAAAAUGAAGUUGAAUCCUUACCUAACACCAUAUUCAACAAUUAACUCAAAUUGGAUUAAAGACUAAAUGUAGGUCCUAAAGCUAUAAAACUAACUAUAAAACUCUUAGAAGAAAACAUAGAACAAAAGCUUCAUGACAAUGGACUUGGCAGUGGUUUCUUGGAUACGACACCAAAGGGACACACAACAAAAUAAAACAUAGUCAAAUUGGACUUCGUGAACAUUAAAAUAUUUUGUGCAUCAAAAUACAACAUCAACAGGGUAAAAAGGUAACCCACAGAAUGGGAGAAAAAUAUCUGCAAAUCAUUGAUCUGAUAAGGGAUUAGCAUCCACAAUACACAAAGAACUCAUAAAACUCAAUACAAAUAGCAUUCAAUACAAAAAGCAACCCAAUGAAAAAAUGGGCAAAGGACUGGAAUAGACAUUUCUCAAAAGAUAUACAAAUGGCCAAUAAGCACGGAAAGAUGCUCAGCAUCAGUAAUCAUUAGGGAAAUUUAAAUCAAAACCACAUUACCACCUCACAGCCACCGGGAUGGCUACUAUCCAGGAAAAAAAAAAAGAAGAGAAAAGACGUGUUGGGGAGGAGGUGCAGAAACUGCAACCCUUGUGCACUGCUGGUGGGACUGCAAAGUGGUGCAGCCGCUCUGGAGAACAGUAGGGAGGUCCCUCAAAUAACUAAGACUAGAACUACCAUAUGACCCAGCAAUCCCACUUCCGGGUAUAUAACCGAAAGAACUAAAAGCAGAAUCCUGAGAGAUAUUUGUACACCCAUGUUUAUAGCAGCAUUAUUCAUAAUAGCUAAGACUUGGAAGCAACUUAAGUGGUCCACUGACAGACGAACGGAUAAGCAAAAUUUGGUAUAUGCACACAAUGAAGAGCCUUAAAAAGGAAGGAAAUUCUGGCACAUGAGACACGGAUGAAACUUAAGAGGACUGUGCUACGUGAAAUAAGCUAGUCACAAAAAGACAAACACUGUAUGAUUCCACUUAUAUGAGAUCCUCAGAGUAGUAAGAGAGACAGAAAGUAACAUGGUGGUUGCCAAGGGCUGGGGGCAGGGAGAAAUGGGGAGUUGGUAUUUAAUGGGAACAGUUUCAAUUUUACAAGAUGAAAAGAAUCGUGGAGAUGAAUGGUGGUGAUAGCUGUAUGACAUUAUGAACGUAUUUAAUACCACUGAAGUGUUCACUUAAAAAUAGUUAAGGUGGUAAAUUUUAUGUGGUAUUGUGGUAUUUUACCACCACAACAAAAAAAGUUGAAAAAACCCCCAAAAACCCCAAACAGGUGGAUAGGCUAGGAAUGGUCUCUCAUCUGGUCAUAUAAGGCUAAAAUGAGCUAAUGCUGUGAAAACAUUUUUGUAAACUGAAAUAUACCACAUUACACACUGAUCUAGAUUUAUUUGAACACUUAUCAUUAUAUGUUUUAGAUCAAUGUGCCUGACAUAUUACCCUUAAACAUGAAUAAAAAUGUUUAAAAAAAUCACAACCAUGUAUAAUUUUCAGUGUUCACUUUUCAUCCUGAAGUAAAAAUUUUGUUUUUAUUAUGUUCUGAAGCUUAUGAAUACAUAAUUAAAAAAAAUAAAGGUAGAAUUUCUUUAAUUAUAGCUGGAUUAGCAUAGUUAAGUGAGUAGUGAAUAGUCAAAAGUAUCUUCGUCAAGGAAAAUUUGCGAACCAAUUGAAAUUCAGUAAUUAUUCUUAAACAACUAGCAAGUAGCACAACAAAUAGAUUAGCACCUAACUCAAACAAUAUAAAGUGCGUGUGUGUGUGUGUGUGUGUGUGUGAGAGACAAAUAAUACACAGCUUCUGAGGCUAAGAUGUGUACAUAAAGUGAAGAGUAAUGAAGGUGGAAGCUUGUCCUUUUAUUUUACUGCAACAAUAGUCGCAUGUGUCAAGAAAGAUAUACCCGAUAAUGUUGACAAUUAAGUACUAUUCAAGCGUUAACUUCGUGUUAUUUACUGAUUUUACAGUGGGACAGAAAAUUGUAAAUACUUUUCACUGUCAAAAGCUUUCCUGUUUCUAUGGAAUUUGGUCUUAGAUAUCAUUAACUUAAUAGGAAGGCUUUCAUUUUAAAUGUCUUAUUAUAAUUAAAAAAUACCUUACUAGAGGUAGCUUUUCAAAUUCUAAAAUAAAAUUAAGAAGGUACUACGGAAUCUUGUUAUUUUUAUAGUUAAUUUAGAACAAGCUAAGGUUUCCUAGUACUUGCCUCUUGUAAUCUGAAAACAACAGGGAUUUUCUUUUCCGUACAGGCAGCUAUGAAGUUAUCAGGUAGUAGCUGUCCAUCUGAAAGGAACUGGUCAUCUUUUCCUUGAUCAAUUAGUAUAUCCAGCUGAGUACCUGGGCAGGCCUUCACAAGAUGGGUAGCAUCAUAAGCCUAUAAAAAGGGGAGAAAUAAUGAAAAAUAAAUUUGAAAGUGCCCAGAAAGAUAUUCUGCAGAAUACCCUAUACUAGAACUGAAUAGAAAUUUAAAGUCAUUUCAGCUCUAAGGCUGAUUAAAUUGAAAAUAUGCUUUUAAGUUGGCUUGUCUGGUUUUUAUUUACAGGCCUUCAGAAUUCUAUCGUCAAUUACAGCUUCUUCCCUACUUUCAACCAGUCCUAGACCAACGGCAAGAAUUCUAUAUCUCAAGUAUUCUUCAUAGUAUAUAGCCUUUUUUCUUCCAAACCUUUAAGGUUUAAUCACCUCUCAACUCCAAGAAAACCAAUUUGUUUUCUUUGUAAAUCCUUUUACAAACUGAUUAUUUCUUCUAACUCCAUUAUCUUUUUCUAUUUCCAAAUAUUCUCUAUUUCAAAUAAAUAGUCUAUUUUUUGUCCCUUCUUUUUGACUUAUUCCAGACAUAAAUCUCUCUUUUGCUAUCUGCUGAAUGGCACCAAAUGUCCAUCUCCAGGAACUUUCAGGAAGACUUGAUUUGAACAAUCUGAAUCAUAUCAACAACUCAAAUUUAUUAUGUGAGGAGCUGCCACUAGUUACAAUUUUCUAUUUUACCAUCCAUCUUUAAAUAUUGAUUAUUCAUGUAUAUUCACUAAUGACAACUUUUAUGCAUUGAUCAAGACACACAAAAACCAAAAGAUUUCCCCUUCUAAAGUAGCAUGCUUUUUAAGACUUGCUUUUUUUAAUCUUAAAAGGAGAGGGUGGAAGGACACCUAUAAAGUCCAACUAGUUCUAAGUUCCACGAUUUCAUAAUUCUGCAUGGCCUCCUUAUUCCAAGAGUAAAUUAAAUGAUAGCCUAAACACUGCAUAAUUAAAAUAGUAAAAUCUACUGCCAUUUGGAGAAAAAUGAUACAGAUUCCUUUAUAGGGUACCUCUCCCCUACUUCUCCCAAUCAGUUGGUCUUUUACUCAAAACUUCUAUUAGACCAUAAGGCCCCUGUGGACGGGAAAGGGUCAUCACCUUCUUGACAUAAGAUCUCAAAACCCCACACAAACUCUGCACAUGGUGAGGACUCAAAACACUGAGGCACAAGCACUGUCAAUGCACUGUCCCCAAAGUAACUAAUAGUAAUAAUUUUCAGCAUUCUUCCAAUAUAAUAAAAAUCUAAGACUAAGCAAAACAAAACUCUAAUGACUAAAAGAUUAACCUUCCAAUUUGUCAGAAUUUCAAUGACCAAUCUUAAAUAAAAUAGGGGUCCAUGUGUAAAUGACUUUGAAUAAACAGCAAUAAGACAAAAAAGGUUUUUUCCCACUCGACGAUUUUCUACUUGCUAACAUGCACAUGAUGAUGAGUUAGUUCACCUGCAAAAUAUUCAAACUCUUGGUGGAGUUUUCAAAUAGCCCAUUUCUGCACAAGAGCAAAUCAGUCUCAGGAAAAAAGGGCCAUUUUUAUUUUCAUUUAGAAGCAUCUGCUCCUAUGCGUGCAAAAGCAAUCUUACUGUUGGAAAUAUUCUCAUGAAUGUAUAUUACAUACACAAUAUCUAUUUUUAAAAGCUUUUAAGUCUAGAAUUUAAAAUCCAAAUCUGAGAGAUGCUAGACUUUGAAACAGAUACACAAAAUAAAAAGCCAGGCCUUGUAGUUCUUAUCAUACAAUUUAAGCACACAGUUAAUAUGAGGUAAGUCUAAAUUCAGUAAUAUGGGGUAUUUUUUGUGAUGUUAAUUUAGAAGAUAAACAUAUAAAUUAAUCAUUAGCAGAAAAAAAAUGUAGCCGCAGAAUAUCUCCCAUAAUUCAAUGCAAUUGAAAUACUGCUCUCUGUUGUUGUUGUUAUUGUUAUAUGUAUACACUUUAAUUAUUUUUUGAUCUGAAUCCUUAACUUGAGUAAGUUAAGAAUAUAACGUCUGUAGUGUGUAGCUUUUUAACAAAUUUGAAAACUUAAGAAUGAGUUAUGAAGACCGCCAUCCAGUACCUACCUCCCAUUUACUUUGAUCUGUUCCCAAAUAUCCACUAAAGGCUUUUUUGCCCCAAGGACAGAGCACUGGGUUGCAAAUUGGAGCAAACGCUGACACAGACUUCAGAAACAAACAAACAAAAAAAUUAAAAACAAGUUUUAUUUUGCUAAAUUGAAUAUGAACAGGUAUUUACAACUUGCUUAAAAACUCUGACUUGCCAUGAAAAUCCCUGUGACCAGUUUUCCUUUUGCUAUAUUAUGGGCUUAGAUUAUAUGCCUCUCCAAGAUACCACAUCCUUUGUGUGUUCUAAUAAAAGAGCUACAUUUUCACGUAGGCACAAUGAAAGUUUAUGUUCAGCGUUUCUACUCAUUUUUCCUACAUUUUCAUGUAGGCACAAAUGAAAGUUUAUGUUCAGCGUUUCUACUCAUUUUUUCCACUUAAAACAGUGGAAAAUCAAAGUCAACUUUACAAGAAUAUUCCCGGUAAAAGUAAAUGAUAACAUACUGUCACAAUAACAUUAAUCAAUAAUAACUUUUAGGGAAAAAAAGCCUAGAAAACUAUAGUUUGAAUAGAAGCAAUGAAAGCUGCUUUAUAAUACCUCUAAUAGACCAAUGAGAAACCACUGGGAUAAAAUUCCUAUACUUCUGAUUCUGUAGCAUUGUAUUGUAUGGUCAAAUUUAAUGCUCUUUCCCCACAAACCCCUUGAAAUUCCCAAGACUAGAAAAGUUUAGUCCCAAUACUAAAACAACAGUAUCUUAAUUUCAAUCUUUGAAAGUUCCUAAUAUUAUACUAUUCAAGAGAAAUAUCUGUCACUAGAAGCUUAGGUAAUCUUACUUUGUAUUUUCCAGGGUUCUUCAAAGCACAAAUCAGAGCUCCAUGGCCCCCCAUGGAGUGGCCAAAAAUAGACAUCCUUUGGGGAUCCACUGGAAAAUUGGUAUUUAUGAGUUGUGGAAGCUAGAGAGAAUUUAAUAGUGGGACAAGAGAUAUGACAGAAAUAAGUUUAGGCUUUUUCAAAGUCAUCUAAAAUAAUCAAUACUUUCAAAUUCACAGUCUUAAAAUGGUUCACACUAGUAAAGAUUAAAAAAAAAGUCAGACAGACAAUGAUCAUUAAUAUAUCACUGGAGAAUAUACGUUACAUCUUCCUUGGAAAGCGACUUUAAGAAGAUAAUGCAGAAAGAAACUUUAAAAUGUAAACUUUUGAUCUAGUAAUUUCACUUCCUGGAAUCUCUUUCUAAGGGAAAAGUCCUUAUGGGUAAAAAAUUAUAAACAAAGAUAAUCAAUGCAGUAAUGCGUAUUAUGGUAAAAAAAAUAUGUAAAUAUAUAAAUAGCCUCCAUUACAAAAAAGUAAAUCACAGCAUAUGACAGAAUAUUAUACAAUUAUUAAAAUUAUGUUACAAAUAGAUCAGAAUAUUAGAAAAUAUUUACUUUAUAUAAUUAAAAAAAGAAGAAGAUAAAAAUGUUUUACUAUUAUAUGAAAACUAGUCACACAAAAAUGUCUGGAAUAUACGAGAAUAUAGUUGUUUGGGGUGACAGAAUUAUGGGUGAUUAAAAUUUUAUAUUAUCGUUUCUGAGUUUCUAUGAUGUGCACAUUAACAAUUAAAAUCAUAGAAAAAUGCAUAAACUGCACACACAUAUUAUUAAUAGAAGCAGUGCUUUACCACUUAUCCUUUUUGAUUUUAAUCACUAUGAAAUAUGUCUGGAUGAACCAGCUGCCAGAAAAUACAGUUUUUUCAUACACUAUUUUCUUUGUAUAACCUGGGUGGUGUAUACAGGUGUCAAUAUAAUUAUUAAACUCUUUAAAAUUGUACGUAGUGUUCAUUUAAAUUGCAGAAAAUAGUACUAUAGUACUUGUAAACUUUGGAAUUUUUACCAAGAUAAUUAAUAAAUAUGUACCCAAUAGAUUCAACAAUACCAUACCCUAGUUUAAAAUUCUCGGCACUGGAAGGACUUUGUGUCCCAAAUCAAACUUUUGGCAGUCAUCAACUAAUAAUUACACUGUAAAUUAAAUUACCUCCUCCGUUACAUACGAGUACAUUCUGUAGUUAGUUUUCCAAGGAUCUUCAGUAGCAUCCACAUAAAAUCCAGCCCCAGAGCCGAAGUCCCAGGUCUCAUCUUCUCCUUUAAUAUUGCAGCCACCUAUUAAGGAAAAAUCUUGUGGUUUCAUCUACUCUGUAGUAAUGGCCCAUGUUUAAUAACACACUUUAAAAUGAACCUGAAAUUUCACUUGCAUUAGAGCUGUUCACCAAGUAUUGUGGGCUCUCUGCGUUUUGGGGUACAUACUUCCUUGCCCCCUUGAGUGCGGUCAUGUGACUAGUUCUAGCCAAUGAGGCAAGAGAGGGAAUGGCCCUCUAGGCCGGGGUAUUCACUGGCUUUCUUCACUGAUGGAGCUCCCUCCUAUGUAUUCUGAACAUAUCUUUCCUCACUCUGUUUUACCUGUCAAAGGGCUUAUACUCUCUUUUUAUCUUUCAGAAAUACGUUGAUUCCUUCUCUGAUGC